Lethenteron reissneri (Far Eastern brook lamprey) is the source of this 253-nucleotide long non-coding RNA. RefSeq lists it as uncharacterized. The record is from RefSeq and is a predicted model, not a curated record. Lineage: Eukaryota; Metazoa; Chordata; Hyperoartia; Petromyzontiformes; Petromyzontidae.
UUGAUGGCAACUCUGAGGAACACAAGGAAACCAUCAUCUUUUUCGACCAAUCUAUCCCCUCCAAUGCUGCUUAUGUCCGUGUUUAUCCUGUUGAAUAUCAUGGGCACAUCAGCUUAUUUGCUCAACUUCUACAAGACUGUCUGAAUAAGACAACAACUGAAGCACCAACAACGCCCACUCCCACCCCUACAGUGAAAACAACAACAACCACAACACCAACAACAACUGAAACACCAACACCGACAACAACAAG